ACGAACGCUGGCGGCGUGCUUAACACAUGCAAGUCGAACGGAAAGGCCCUGCUUUUGUGGGGUGCUCGAGUGGCGAACGGGUGAGUAACACGUGAGUAACCUGCCCUUGACUUUGGGAUAACUUCAGGAAACUGGGGCUAAUACCGGAUAGGAGCUCCUGCUGCAUGGUGGGGGUUGGAAAGUUUCGGCGGUUGGGGAUGGACUCGCGGCUUAUCAGCUUGUUGGUGGGGUAGUGGCUUACCAAGGCUUUGACGGGUAGCCGGCCUGAGAGGGUGACCGGCCACAUUGGGACUGAGAUACGGCCCGGACUCCUACGGGAGGCAGCAGUGGGGAAUAUUGCACAAUGGGCGGAAGCCUGAUGCAGCAACGCCGCGUGCGGGAUGACGGCCUUCGGGUUGUAAACCGCUUUCGCCUGUGACGAAGCGUGAGUGACGGUAAUGGGUAAAGAAGCACCGGCUAACUACGUG
RNAcentral lists this ribosomal RNA (467 nucleotides) under uncultured bacterium. RNAcentral's name for it is "partial 16S ribosomal RNA". It matches the Rfam family "Bacterial small subunit ribosomal RNA", at positions 29 to 507 of the family's 1533-position model. The record is from RNAcentral.